Molecule: ribosomal RNA, 253 nt
Filed under: uncultured bacterium
Lineage: Bacteria
Description: partial 16S ribosomal RNA
Rfam family: Bacterial small subunit ribosomal RNA
Source: RNAcentral
UACGAAGGGUGCAAGCGUUAAUCGGAAUUACUGGGCGUAAAGCGCGCGUAGGUGGUUUGUUAAGUUGGAUGUGAAAUCCCCGGGCUCAACCUGGGAACUGCAUUCAAAACUGACUGACUAGAGUAUGGUAGAGGGUGGUGGAAUUUCCUGUGUAGCGGUGAAAUGCGUAGAUAUAGGAAGGAACACCAGUGGCGAAGGCGACCACCUGGACUGAUACUGACACUGAGGUGCGAAAGCGUGGGGAGCAAACAGG